GUAUAGAUUUUAUAGGCACAACAUUCUAUUAACAUACAUUGGGGUAAAUGAGGAAGCAACAUAGACCUGAGAAGGUCUACAAAGGGUGCACAGGUGGAGAUAUAAAGACGACAAGGCGUGCACAUGCUCCCAAGAGAACCAGCAACAGCCCGUCAGGUUUAUUUUCAAUAAUGAUCCUUCCGCAGGUUCACCUACGGAAA
RNAcentral lists this unclassified non-coding RNA (200 nucleotides) under uncultured fungus. Its description in RNAcentral is "sequence contains ITS1". Lineage: Eukaryota; Fungi. The record is from RNAcentral.